GGAUGCGAUCAUACCAGCACUAAAGCACCGGAUCCCAUCAGAACUCCGAAGUGAAGCGUGCUUGGGCAAGAGUAGUACUAGGAUGGGUGACCUCUUGGGAAGUCCUCGUGUUGCAUUCC
Molecule: ribosomal RNA, 119 nt
Filed under: Triticum aestivum (bread wheat)
Lineage: Eukaryota; Viridiplantae; Streptophyta; Magnoliopsida; Poales; Poaceae
Source: RNAcentral